GAUGAACGCUGGCGGCGUGCCUAAUACAUGCAAGUCGAGCGAACAGACGAGGAGCUUGCUCCUCUGACGUUAGCGGCGGACGGGUGAGUAACACGUGGAUAACCUACCUAUAAGACUGGGAUAACUUCGGGAAACCGGAGCUAAUACCGGAUAAUAUAUUGAACCGCAUGGUUCAAUAGUGAAAGACGGUUUUGCUGUCACUUAUAGAUGGAUCCGCGCCGCAUUAGCUAGUUGGUAAGGUAACGGCUUACCAAGGCAACGAUGCGUAGCCGACCUGAGAGAGUGAUCGGCCACACUGGAACUGAGACACGGUCCAGACUCCUACGGGAGGCAGCAGUAGGGAAUCUUCCGCAAUGGGCGAAAGCUUGACGGAGCAACGCCGCGUGAGUGACGAAGGUCUUCGGAUCGUAAAACUCUGUUAUUAGGGAAGAACAAAUGUGUAAGUAACUAUGCACGUCUUGACGGUACCUAAUCAGAAAGCCACGGCUAACUACGUG
RNAcentral lists this ribosomal RNA (497 nucleotides) under uncultured bacterium. RNAcentral's name for it is "partial 16S ribosomal RNA". It matches the Rfam family "Bacterial small subunit ribosomal RNA", at positions 28 to 507 of the family's 1533-position model. The record is from RNAcentral.